Lotus japonicus is the source of this 2208-nucleotide long non-coding RNA. RefSeq lists it as uncharacterized. NCBI's taxonomy places the organism in Eukaryota, Viridiplantae, Streptophyta, Magnoliopsida, Fabales, Fabaceae. The record is from RefSeq and is a predicted model, not a curated record. The transcript has 6 exons.
UGGAUGUAUGGUCCCAUUACAUGUGAUUAUUAAAAGGAAAUAAAAAAAAGAGAGGUGUUGUGUUGUGUUGUGUUGUGUUGUGUUGUGCUGUGUGUAUCUUCUAUCCUACAAUUGAAGGUUUUGAAAUCACUGUUCAUGCACCAACCUUACUAUGCUAGCCUCCCUAUGGUAUUCUCCUUUUUCUAUUGCUACGGCUUCCCUAUACGGCUAUACUGCUGUUCGUUUACCUCAUCCUCUCCUCAUAGCAAAUUUAAAUUUUCCGUCACUGACACCUACGCCUGCCCUCUCACUGCGAAAAUGUGACAGCUGCCUCCUCCCCUAUCCAUGGCACAGGUCUCCUAUAUGAAUCGUCCUUCCCUAUCUCCUUGGGUUGUCCAGAACCUUCUCCCCCUAAUAGCCACCUCCCAAGCUAUUAUUUACACUAAGCCCAAAAACAACCUAUGUUGUACUUGUCCUCUUCUAUCCCUUUUUUCCUCCUAUGCUCUCCCUAUGCCAUACACAUCUUUUUUCUGCGUUUCUUGCAUACUCCCUAAUUCGGAGUUACCUACAACUUGCAAAUUCCAGCUUUCCGAUGUCUUUGACAGGUUGUGUGCCUACACUCCCUCCCCUACACUCCCUCUUCAUCUUCUUUACAGCUUGACUGAUUUGAUGGAGUGCCUAUAAAUUGAACCAUGUCUGUGAGGAGGGGAAGGAUAAGAUGCAGUUAUCAUGCGUUUUUGCUAUUAGUGCAUGAUGUGGUUGUGGACUUGUGACUGCACUGAACCGAGAUGUAUGCGAUCUGCAAUUCAAUAUCUUAGUUAAAUUAAAGUUUUGUUUCUUAGGUGUCCCGGUUUGGUGCACUAAAGAUGACCUGCAAUUCAUUUCAGUUUUCUACUUAUAACAUGUUUGGAAUUUAAAUCAACUUAUUAUUCAUCAGAAUCAAUUCUGAUGCCGAAGCUACUCGGACAAGUUUCUCUCCGGAAUUGUUUCCGGUUUAGAAUUAUUUGUAGAGGAAUUUCCAAUAUGUUGUUUGGUGAAUGAUCAGUUACCCGUGGGUGACAAAGCUAUGCAAAAGAAGAGGAUGGCAGACAAAAACUAAAACUUCAACCAGAGGGUCAGAGACAAACUAUUUCAUUAUGCAGUAUCUUUAGUGCACCAAACCAACACUUAUAGUACCAUUAUUAUUACUACAAAUAUUAGCAAGCAACAAAUGUUCAAUGGCUUGGUUGUUUUGGUAGGUCAAUGUCAAGGGCUGAAGCUCAAAAUCCACUUAUUGGAGAAAACACUUGUGGCUCAUUGCUAAAGAAGCUGUACGUAACUUCAUUCAGCAAUUCACCUUUGUCAUUGGUGAUGCACAUGGUCUAAAGAAUAGUGAGAUUAGAUUAUAUUCAUUCACCGUAGCCAAUAUGGAAUGUGGUUGGUGAGAGUGAUGAGGAACGAGAAAAGAUGCUUCUUUAGUUAGAGUAGCAAUGCUUGGAUGUGUACAAGAGAAAGGUUGAGCAUGCUGCCAAAUAUAGGGUACAACUACUUCAAGCCUUAUCUGAUGCUAAGCUUGAGCUUUCUACUCUUCUACCAACUCUUGGUGAAAAGAGCUUUGCUGGAAAUGUUGGUAACUGCUUAACUAUAUUUUUACAUUGGGCGUAUUUAACAGAACAAAUACAGGCAUAACUUUGUGAUGUAUUUUGAUAAUAAAGUUGCAAACUUAUUUGCUAUGCAUUUGAACCUUAAUGAUUUUUUACCUGUUGUUGAUAAGUCUGGCCUUUCUUGAAGAAGUUCGAUGAAUAUCAAUCUGAGUGCCAAAAUCAUCAAAAGGAUUAGGCUGAAGUGGAAGUUGAAAGACUUGAGCAGUUUAAAGCUAGCAGGAUGAAGGAAAUUGCUUCCAGGAAGCAAGGAGAACUCAAAGAGAUGUUUGCCUGUGCUCAUGUAGAAAGAUGUUGGCUGGCAAAGGAUUAUGGCUUUCAUUGAUUUUGGAGAAUUUAACCAAGUAUCCUACUUUGCGGACAUAGUUGGUUUCAGUCUUUCAGAGUGGAGCUCUUCAGUAUUAGUAUUGUUUUGUCUUUAUUUUUCUUUUUGAUGUAUAUUAUCUUUCUUCUAUGUGAUCCUUUUCCCUUUUGGUAAAGUUUCUUCUCUCAUUACAAAGUCGUCACUCACUUAGCUUUCGUUAAGGGUUUUCCUUUGAAAGUAAAAGGUUUGAAGAUAAAUUUAUUAAUAUAUCGAUGUUUUAUUCAA